RNAcentral lists this ribosomal RNA (116 nucleotides) under Penicillium sp. FF43. Its description in RNAcentral is "partial 28S ribosomal RNA". It matches the Rfam family "Eukaryotic large subunit ribosomal RNA", at positions 1 to 115 of the family's 3401-position model. The record is from RNAcentral. RNAcentral also lists the same sequence under 1 other name. Lineage: Eukaryota; Fungi; Ascomycota; Eurotiomycetes; Eurotiales; Aspergillaceae.
UUGACCUCGGAUCAGGUAGGGAUACCCGCUGAACUUAAGCAUAUCAAUAAGCGGAGGAAAAGAAACCAACAGGGAUUACCUCAGUAACGGCGAGUGAAGCGGUAAGAGCUCAAAUU